UACGUAGGGUGCGAGCGUUGUCCGGAAUUAUUGGGCGUAAAGGGCUCGUAGGCGGUUUGUCGCGUCGGGAGUGAAAACUCAGGGCUUAACCCUGAGCCUGCUUCCGAUACGGGCAGACUAGAGGUAUGCAGGGAGAACGGAAUUCCCGGUGUAGCAGUGAAUGCGUAGAGAUCGGGAGGAACAUCUGUGGCGAAGGCGGCCAUCUGGACCAGCACUGACGACGAGGCACGGAAAGCGUGGGGAGCAACAGG
Molecule: ribosomal RNA, 251 nt
Filed under: uncultured bacterium
Lineage: Bacteria
Description: partial 16S ribosomal RNA
Rfam family: Bacterial small subunit ribosomal RNA
Source: RNAcentral